RNAcentral lists this long non-coding RNA (478 nucleotides) under Dromaius novaehollandiae (emu). RNAcentral's name for it is "lncRNA (ENSDNVG00000014441.1)". Lineage: Eukaryota; Metazoa; Chordata; Aves; Casuariiformes; Dromaiidae. The record is from RNAcentral.
CUGGCAGCUCUGGGCAGAGCCAAGUGGGCGGCGUUAAGAAAACGUUAACAAAACGUCGGAGCCGCUGCUGGAAGGGUGAAUCACGCGUUAUGUGAGGAGAAGCGCGCUCACGACGCACGGCGCUUUUUACGCAGAGCAGGGGCAGUUGUAAGCUGGCGGCCGGCUUUGUCGCAGGUGCUGCUGAGCGUGUGAAACUCCCCUGGACCUGUGUUUCUUUGGGUUCCACGAGGAUUAGGCAUCAGAGAGAUGUGAGUCCAAGUUUACUGAAGGUCCCAUUACUUUCUUCUUGUGCGAUAUAUGAUUCCUGGUCCCUAAGCAACCACCAACUUUCAGGCAAGUGAUUAAUUCAUUUUUUAUGCAUUAUAAUGAGGUCCAGCCCAGAGUCACCUUGUAUUGGGUAAAAUAAGACAGACAGGCAUUUCACAGGCAUUUUUACCUGGAGACUGAAUGAACACAAAAGAUGGCAAAAAGCCAGGCA